This 697-nucleotide ribosomal RNA is filed under the name uncultured bacterium. Its description in RNAcentral is "bacterial SSU rRNA". It matches the Rfam family "Bacterial small subunit ribosomal RNA", at positions 62 to 747 of the family's 1533-position model. The record is from RNAcentral.
UCAGGGAGAAGUCUCUUCGGGGAUGAUUAAACCGGCGCACGGGUGAGUAACACGUGAGUGACCUGCCUUUUAGACUGGAACAACUUACCGAAAGGUGAGCUAAUGCCGGAUGAGUUAUAUAAGUGCAUGUUUAUAUAGGAAAAGUUGGGGAGACCUGACGCUGAAAGAUGGACUCGCGUCCCAUUAGCUAGUUGGUAGGGUAAUGGCCUACCAAGGCGACGAUGGGUAGCCGGCCUGAGAGGGUGGCCGGCCACACUGGGACUGAGACACGGCCCAGACUCCUACGGGAGGCAGCAGUGGGGAAUUUUGCGCAAUGCUCGUAAGAGUGACGCAGCGACGCCGCGUGAAUGACGAAGGCCUUCGGGUCGUAAAGUUCUUUCGACAGGGAAGAAAAUGCCUAUAAGUAACUGUGUAUGUAUUGACGGUACCUGUAUAAGCAGCCCCGGCUAACUCCGUGCCAGCAGCCGCGGUAAUACGGAGGGGGCGAGCGUUGUUCGGAGCGACUGGGCGUAAAGAGCACGUAGGCGGUGUUGUAAGUCAUUAGUCAAAGACUAGAGCUCAACUUUAGUAGGGCUAGUGAUACUAUAAUACUAGAGUAUCAGAGAGGAUUACAGAAUUCCUGGUGUAGCGGUGAAAUGCGUAGAUAUCAGGAGGAAUACCGUUAGCGAAGGCGGCAAUCUGGCUGGAAACUGACGCU